Hordeum vulgare subsp. vulgare (domesticated barley) is the source of this 135-nucleotide non-coding RNA. The record is from Rfam. NCBI's taxonomy places the organism in Eukaryota, Viridiplantae, Streptophyta, Magnoliopsida, Poales, Poaceae.
AUUGUACUCCUCCGCCCCAAAAUUAUUGUCUUGGGUUUGUCUAGAAAUGGAUGUAUCUAAAUAGUAAGACAUGACUAGAUACAUUAAUAUCUAGAUAAAUCUAAGAAAAGAAUUUUGGGAUGGAGGGAGUAGAUU